CAUAUGUACUCUUACACUGUUCAAGCAGCCCAAGGUGUGGGGACAAGAGGCUCUCUCUAUUCUCCAGAUCUUCCCCGCAUCAUCCAAGCUCCAGAAAACAGUGGCCUGAAACACUCGGAGGGGGAGAGAGAGAGAGAUUCAGGAUAGAGCCCAAUCCCAAAUGGAAUGUUUUCCUUUUGGUUUUAUUUGAAUAUAGUUUGCUUCAUUCCAACCAGAAUUGCAACAGCCAAAUAGAACUGUCUCUAAACGAUUAAAGUUCUGUACUAACGCCAACAAAGCAACUUGCUGGGGAAACAACAACAACCAAAAUCGCUUUCACAUCGAAGAUUGGUUUGCAUGAGUAGCAACCUCCAGAAACAACUCCGGCUCCAGCUGUGUUCAGAAGUGACAAAGGAUGUCAAAGGAAGAGCCCAGGAUGGCUGGAAUAGAGCGGGCCCUCUCAGAGCUGUAUCUUCCAAGAGAAGUCUUCUAUAGUCCCCACUGACUUUCAUGCAGCCUCCCCACCUCUGUUUCCAGAAAAUGGAUGCAAGCUAGUGUCACAGGCCUAAUCCUGGGAAUCAGUUUCUGGAAUGGAAUCUUGUGGAUGGACCUCUCACAGAUGCUUUUGGUUCUGAGAACACGUAAGAGGAAUGACGGUAAUCCUUGGCAUGCAAAGGAAUUGCCAUCAUUAGAAUAUCUUUUUUAAACCAGCAAUGAACCAGCAGAGCAUAUCGGUGGAAGGGGACACACCAGAUGCACUAAGACAAGCUGCCUCGAGUUCCUGUUGCCAUGACUUCCUUCAGGGAAUGACUGUUCACUCAAACUUUCUCCAAGGAAGGAGAAAUGCCUACCUUAUCCGACUGGUGAAUUUGGAUGAAGUAACUGGCCAUUUGUCCUUGAGAUCUGCCUGUCUGCAGAGAAUAGAAUACAUCCUCUUCUGUCCUUUGUCCAUUUGAAGUAAAGGCCGUUGAUCUGAUGAUCAGAUGUGUAGGUUUCCAGUCUGAUUAAAUCUGAAGUUCAAACUUAGAAGCUGAUGUCGUGGCAUAUGGAAGGCAUGCUCUCCAGCGUCAGCUUCCAUGUUGCCUUCCCCUGUGUCACUUCUGAUUUCUAUGACUUGGCUUUGGACACCAAUGUCAAACUGAGGGUUUGGGUACUCAUCUUCUCAAACUCUAGCAUAUCAAAUAGAUCACCCUCCAUGUAGAAUGUGAAGAACCAUGAACUUCCCAGUCCUAUAGAUCGUCUUGGUGAAGUAUCUGUUGAAGGUGACUAUUCUGCCCAAAUAUCUUUGAGUCCUAGACAUCCUUUUAGGGACUGUUGAAGGCAGAUAAUGGUAAUAGAACUCCAUUACCUCUACUGUAUCAUUUUAAUGUAAGUUUUUAUGCCUAUAAAGGAACAAAGUCUUUAUAUCUAAGAAUUGAUUUUCAUAGUAUCUGUGUGGUUAAUCAUAUCUUUUAAUACGUUAUAACAUUGAAAUACAGGGUAAGUAAAGCUAGAUGCCUGGUCCCUUUAAAGAGUUUUCUGAGGCCAGGUGUGAUAGUGUACACCAUUAAUGGCAGUACUGUAGGAAAUCCUACAGCUACUAGCCUUUAAGUUACUUGCCCACUGGGGAGUGGCCCCUUAUACUAUUUAUGUUGAUGUAAAAGCCUGUGUCCAGCCUCUUUUCCAGUUGCAGGAUUUGGUUGCUGUUCUCCAUUCCAACAGAGGAUUCUAAUUUGUGAGUCUACCCCUAAAUAAAUAACCAUCUAUUAUUCUCAAUUCUGAGCUAGUGUGGGAUUUCUUUUAAGUGUCCUUCUUCAUCUGGUGCCCAACAUGAGAUUGGUGCCCACAUUGCCAACUAAAUUCACAUAAAACCUAAGGGCUUGAAAAGGAAUUCUAGACAAAAAAAUUAUAGAGUUUAACACAGCUUCUUGCUGUUUGCUGGUGGCAUGCUACAACUCUUUUAAGAGAGGUUUUCCUGACUCAGCAGCAGCAGCAGAAAAAAAGCUGUGCUGCUGUUUUGAAAUGCAGACUUUCUGGGACGUGCUGCCAGUGCAACCUCUGGCUCUUUCGGGAGACUAAGUAUUUGGAUGGAGUUUGUGAGAAGCAUACUAUGACUUGCUUAAUGGCAAUGUGGACCAGAUGUAUGCCUGGAAGUGGGGUGGUGUGUGUGGCUCUCAGGAGCAGAGAGCAGCUCUGUCAAGUUGCAAUGGGCACAGCAAGCAGGAAGUAUUGUAAGUAGUACAGUCAUGUAAUGUCAUGUAAUGUCACAGCUUAGAUUCUUAAGCAUUUAGCAUUUUAAGAAGCACUUCUGGUCAGAAAAUAAUUUCAGAUAUGCAAUAAAGACAAAUCCAGAUGAGUCAUAUUAUUGGAUAAAUGUACAUCGGAUUGGGAGAGAAAAGAAAAAGAGUAUAGAGAGGCAUAAAAGUCUUUAAGGAGACAGAGUACAGAUAGUCAUAGAUUAAAAGGAGUAAAGAAAAAUAAGCCAAUUGAAAAUUGAAAAUUCACAGAGAGUCUGGAUAAUGUGCAUUUUUGUGUUUUCUUUGAAUCUUUUGACUGUGAAGGAGCUAAGUACAGAGAGACAUUUCAUUGUAAUGGGCUGCUAAGCUAAACCAGCAUGUAUAUUAUAAAGGUAUCAUGACUUCCAAAUUUGGGUCUAAGGAUAUGCUGCUUUGGAAAAGAGGUUCUUCUUUUGUUUCCACAGAGGAUGAUAACCUGUGGAUUGCUUCCAGACUGAUGUGGUUUGAUGGAAAAAGACCCCCUGAAAGGUCACAAUGAACACCCUUAAAAAAUUACCUUGUCCAACUGGUGACUGAACCUAGCACACAGGAUACAUCAUAAAAGACCUGAAAUCAGCAGGAAGCAGUAUGGAAAAAAAUACACCCAUAUUUUCAAAUAGUGUGUAUAUAUGUUUGUCUACAUUUGAAGGGGAUAUGCUAUAGAGUUUUACAUUGGUAUAGAUCUUGGUUUAUUGACACAAAUGUAAUGUUUUGUUAUACGUAUAUUCUGAUCUUGAUUAAGGUAUUGUGAUUGUGUAGUUCAUUUACAAAAUAAUGCAUAAUUAAUAAAUAUAGGUUAAUAGAUAAUCACCUAUAAUAGUCAAACUUAUAGUCAUGUUAGUUAGAUUUUCUAGAUGUAUAGAGAUACACUUCAGUUAGAUAGGUAUUCUUCAAAUCUUUGAGAGACCUUUGGAAAAUGGCAUUUGAAUGUUUUAAAAAUUUAAGACUUUACAUGACAGUGACACAAUCUGUUCCUGGCAGCACCAAUCUACUUCAAGAGGAAGAUGAGCAUCAAAGAGGCUUCUUAUGGAGUUUGUUAGAUGAACUGGACAAGGAUCCACAGAGAAAUGAUUUCUGAACUUGCCUAAAGGUGAAAUGAUCCUUUGGGGUUCCUACUUCAUGAAAGAGUCUGCGAGACAAUCUGCAGGAUAGAGAAGAAAGUGACUGUCAAUCUACCAAUAUAGGCAAAUCUGCCUUUGAAAUUUCCUGCUUCAUGAAAAAGUCUGCUGAAUACUAUGGGCCUGUAGGCUAAAGAUGGAUGCCCCAAUGGUACAAAAGAACUUUGGGUGACUGCCCAGGCAGCGAAAUGUCUCUGUCAAUUCUAGAGUUAUAAAAGUUGCUUAUAAUGUGCUUACUGAUUACUUAGGUAAUAUUAUAUACUUCUGGAGUCUUUGAUGAAGUUGAAGAAUUUAUAGUUAUAGUUUUCCUUAGUUAUGAUAAAAGAUAGAGUAGAUAUAAAUGUUGUAACUGUAAUUCUUCAUAGAAUUUUACUAUGUUAAAGCCUUGCUUUUAGUUUAAACAGAAAAGGGAAAUGGUGUGGGAGGUCCUUUUGUCUGUAUGUUACUUUUUUGGUUAAUGAAUAAAGAAACUGCCUUGGCCUGUUGAUAAGGCAGAAGGUGGAGAAUAUGGAACUGAAUGUUAGGAGGAAAAAGGCAGAGUCAGAGAGAAGCCAUGGAGCCACCACAGCUGGAGAUAGACUUGCUGAAACUUUGCUGGUACGCCACGACCUCAUGGUAAUACACAGAUUAAAUGAGAUGGGUUAAAUUAAAAUGUAAGAGUUAGUCAAUAAGAAGCAAGAGCUAAUGGGUCAAGCAAUGAUUUAAAUAAUACAGUUUCUAUGUGAUUAUUUUGGGGUUAAGCUAGCCAGGCAGCCAGGAACUGAAUGAGUGCUCUCCUCCUACUAUAUGCCAGCACUCAGGAGGCAGAGAAACUAGUGAAUUCCUGUGAGUUCCAGGCCAGCCAGGGCUACAUAGUAAUAUCAGUUUACUUUAUUUUCUUACAAAAUUAUGGCCCUUGUGCAAGAAUAUAUAGUUCAAUACAAACUAUUUUCAAAACUUGUGUUCUUUGAUAGCAACUGUGGUUAGUUGUACAAGAUUGUGUAUGACUAUAUGGACAAAAUGGAGUAGAGAAAGACUCAGUGCCUUUGUUGCAUCCUUAGGAUCUUUCAGAAAUCAGUGAUAGCUGGGGAAGAGAGAUAUUUCUUCCAGCAACAGGGCCUUUGGUAAAGUACCCAAGCUCCUGUAAGCAACCCUGAUUGUUUCUCAUAUGAAAAACUUGAUCUGAAAGUGAAAGGGAGGCUGUUUGGAAGAGAAAAGGGAUCAGCAAAUGUAGGAGGGAAGUGAGGUUAUGGGAGAGAAACUGGAUCAAGAUACAUUCCAUCCAUGUAGGAAGGUAUUACAAUAGAUUCCACUCUUAUUACGGAUAAGUAAUCCCUGCUAAUUAUGUUCUUGAAUAAAAUCAUAAGAAUAUCAACCCAGUAAUUUAUAACUUAGGGUUUUGUCUCCUCAAAGCAUUCAUUCAAAAUUUGAAUCAGAAUAUGAACAUUCUGGAGCAAGAAAGAUGGUACACCCCCAUAAUUCCAUCAGCUGGGAGACAGAAGUCAAAGUCUGAGGCCAGCUUGGUCCAUAGAACUAGAUCAAAAAUCCAAAAUAAAUAAACAAACAAAUGCAAGACUACGAACAUCCUAAAUUUAUGUGUAAACUAUUCCACUACCCUGUUUUCUUAAACGAAUCAAAUAGAACUUAAAAUUUUCCAUCUGCAUUGUUUUUUGCAUUCAAGAAAAGCUUGCCAAAUCUUAUGUGUAGACAUCUAGUUUUAUUGUCCAUCAAGUAUUUUUGAGCAAUCUACACUCCGAUGAAAAUGUCCCUAGGUACUAAAAAUGAAAAUUGAUAUUAUACAGUCAGCCAACACAUAUCGUUAACAUUUGAAAAUCAGUGGGUGGCUAUUGGUAAGACAGUACAGAUUUAAAAUGGGAAAAACAGAGAAACUAAUUUUAGUAUUGUUAGUGACUGAGAUGGGUAAUACAUGCAUUGGGAAUGAUGCUUGCAUUACACGUCAAAUCCCAUUACAAAAUAUGUCAUUAAAAGGGAAAGGUUUGUAGUAAAAGGGAUGUCCACACCCCUGGCUGAUGGCCCAUUUGUUUCAAACAUCAUUCAAUAUAAAACAGAGACAUUUCCCCUACCUUUGGAAUUCACUAAUGAAUUUGGCUUACAUUGCCAUAUGCCUCUGGCCAAAAGAUUCACAUUUAGGCACAUUCCCCAAUACAGAGAGAUCCUAAAGCUGCAUUCUCUACCCUCCCUUACCACAUUCCCUUGAAUUCCCUCUGCAUUCCUGUUGGUCUCCUGACCUGGACCACAGAUUUUACUUGUAUAAGUUUUAGAAAUGGGGGAAAGCAUUUGAGACAAGUCAAAGUUCUUUAAGAGACGUCGACAGUUCUGUAAGAGCUCUUCUGUGAUCCGAUUAUUCCAGCUGAUAAAACAUUGCCUUCCAGCACGUGUCAGGCUUGGGGCAUAAUCUGCAAUGUCUCAAGAAUAUGGCUGGGUAAUCACUUUGGUCUUAAGAGUUUUCAGAGGAUUGAUUUAGGUGGGUUCUAGUGAGAACCAGAAUCCAAUCUUAGCCAUGUCUGCAUCUCUGGGGAUACAAAUGGAGACAACAUAUGAUACAAUUGUCUAAGUUGAGCUGAUUAAUUGAACAAGCCCCCAAAAUAAGCAGAAAUAGCUAGCUCCUGGAAAUGGACUUCUUCCCGAAUUGAAUAAUUUUAGUUGCAGAGAUUGUCCACCUAAUUUGGGAAGUACCUCAACCUGAGUACAAUGAACUAAAUCUCAAGGAGAAUACUUUCUGAGGUUCAGAUACCCAUCUGCACAUGGUAGAAUCAUGACUUAGCUGAUCAGUUUGACAGUCAGUGAAAACUAACAGGGCCUGCACUUUAAACUCUGGGACUCUUUCUCCAGUACAAAUGAUUGGCAGUAUUUUGGAAAAGAUAGAAAGCAUGCCUUCUUAAUUUAGACUUAAUACAUUGUAUUAUCCUCAGCAAAACAUGUAACGUUUGCCUGCCAAAUGAGCUCGAAUCCUCUUUUGGUUAAGGAAUAGGCAAUUUAAUGAUGUUUUGUAGUUGUGGGUAGGUCUUGUUGAAAGACAAGUUGAAAGCAAAAAAGAAACCUUUUAAGAUUUUUCCUUCAUGUGUGAUUCUUCAGUUAUAUCACAUGCAAGCUGCAGAUGGGAUGAUUUAAUUCGUUCAUGUGUGGGGGGACAAAUAGGAUAGCUGAAAAAGGGACAUUUCCAGGCCGGCAUUUGUUCCAGUGGGACACUAUUUCUUUUUUUAAUCAAUUAAUUUGUUUUAAAAAACAAUCUUUUCUCAUUUUACAUACCAAUCCCAGUUCCCACACCCACUUCUCCUCCUGCUUCCUCCAUCGUUCCCCUAUUCCACCCCUUACCCACUCCUCAGAGAGGGUAAAGCUUCCCAUGGGGAGUCAACAAAGUCUAACAUUUUGAGGCAGGAUUUUCCCCACUAUAUCUAGGCUGAGCAAGGUAUCCCUCCAAAGAGAAUGGGUUCUAAAAAGCCAGUACAAGCAAUAAGGAUAAAUUCUGGUCUCACUGCCAGUGGCCCCAUAGACUGCCCUAGCCAUACAACUGUCAACUAUAUUCAGAGGGCCUAGUUUGGGCCUAUGCUGUCCCCCCCCCCCCCGUCAACCUAGAGUAAGUGAGCUCCCAUUACCUCCGUUAAGCUGUUUCAAUGGGCAUCCCCUUCAUGAUCUUGACCCCUUUGCUCAUAUAAUUAAUUGCUCCUCCCUCUCUUCCACUGGACUUUGGGUGCUCAUCUCAGUGCUAACUGUGGAUCUCUGCUUCUGCUUCCAUCAGUUGCUGGAUAAGGUUCUGUGAUGACAAUUAAGUUAGGUAUCAAUCUGAUUACAAGGGAAGACAAGUUCGGCACCGUCUCCAUUAUUGCUUAGGGUCUUAGUUGGUGUCAUCCUUGUGGAUUCCUGGAGAUUUUCCUAGUGCCAGGUUUCUUGCUAUUCCCACAGUGGCUUCCUCAAGCAACAUAUCUCUUUCCUUGCUCUCCCUCUCUGUCCUUCCCCCAUCUCGACCAUCUAGGUCCCUCAUGUUCUUCUCUCCCUUCUACUCUUACCCUCCUCCUCUCCUUCUGCCCUUCUUUCUCCCCCACUACCAUGCUCCAGAACACCUUGUCUAUUUCCCUUUCCCAGGGGGAUCCAUGUAUGUUUCUCUUAGGGUUCUCCUUGUUACCUAGCUUCUCUGAGGUAAUGAUCUAGUUAUCCUUUGCUUUACAUCUAAUACCCACUUAUAAGUGAGUAUAUACUGUUUGUCUUUCUGGGAAUUGGCACCUCACUCAGGAUUUUUUUUUUUUUUUUGUAAUGGCGUAAGCGAAUGCAGACAGAUUGUCAAAAUAUAGACAGCUUUAAUGGAGGAAUAGACUUACAGAACCACCGUUCUCGCGGAGACCAGGAAAGCAGAAGCGAGGGCUGGGAGCAGGCUUGCCAAACUUAAAGGCAAACUUUAGCCUGAGGCGAGCACGCCCCCUAAGGGGUGGGACUUAUCCCUACAUUUUUUUUUCUAGUUCUAUACAUUUGCAUGUAAAUUUCAAGAUGUCAUUACUUUUUACCACUGAGUACAACUCCAUUGUGUAAAUGUAUCACAUUUUCUUUAUCUAUUCUUCAGUUGAGGGACAUCUAGAUUCUUUCCAGGUUCUGGCUAUUACAAAUAAUGCUAUGAACAUAUUAGAGAAAAUGUCCUUGUAGUAUGAUUGAGAAUCAUUUGAGUAUAUGCCCGAGAGAAGUAUUGCUGGGUCUUGAGGCAGAUUGAUUCCCAAUUUUCUGAGAAAUCACCAUACUGACUUCCAAAGUGGCUGUAUAUGUUUAUACUCCCACCAGCAAUGGAGGAGUGUUCCCCUCACUCCACAUCCUCUUUAGCAUAAGCUAUCAUAGAUCUUUUUGAUCUUAGUCAUUAUGUCUGGUAUAAGUUGGAAUCUCAGAGUUGUUUUGAUUUGCAUUUCCCUGAUGACUAAGAAUGUUGAACAUUUCCUUAAAGUGACACUAUUUCUUACUCUCUGUUUUCCCAAUGCCCUGACUUUUAGCUGAUCAUGUGAUUUAGUGCUCUUGCUUCCCACUUAGUCAUUGUCCCAGUUUUCUUGUUCAACACAUGAAAGUUCUUCUGAAUACACUUUGCUCCUUCCUUAGCAAUCCUGUUUGGUUGCAACAGCACCAUUUUGCUGUUGUGUUUCUCCUCCUAGUAAUAUUUAUUAUGAUUUCAUGAAUGUUGCUUAGCUUUUAUCUUUCUAAAGUGUUAUCUUUCUGGUUUGUCCUGUAAAACAUUGAAGGUGGACUCUGUAUUUUAUGUCGUUAUUCUUCCUCUCUGAGAAUUAUCACUGAAUGAUCCAGGUUCUUAUUAAGAACUUAGGACAAGCAAAAAGAUUUUCAAAAUAUAAACCAAUGAGGCACCUGUACAUCCCAGAGUGAUAACUUCCUAUUCUACUGUAUGACUUA
Molecule: long non-coding RNA, 8731 nt
Organism: Alexandromys fortis (reed vole)
Lineage: Eukaryota; Metazoa; Chordata; Mammalia; Rodentia; Cricetidae
Exons: 4
Source: RefSeq, a predicted model, not a curated record